RNAcentral lists this transfer RNA (72 nucleotides) under subsurface metagenome. RNAcentral describes it as "tRNA-Gly". It matches the Rfam family "tRNA". Rfam says of the family: Transfer RNA (tRNA) molecules are approximately 80 nucleotides in length. Their secondary structure includes four short double-helical elements and three loops (D, anti-codon, and T loops). Further hydrogen bonds mediate the characteristic L-shaped molecular structure. tRNAs have two regions of fundamental functional importance: the anti-codon, which is responsible for specific mRNA codon recognition, and the 3' end, to which the tRNAs corresponding amino acid is attached (by aminoacyl-tRNA synthetases). tRNAs cope with the degeneracy of the genetic code in two manners: having more than one tRNA (with a specific anti-codon) for a particular amino acid; and 'wobble' base-pairing, i.e. permitting non-standard base-pairing at the 3rd anti-codon position. The record is from RNAcentral.
GCGUGAGUAGUAUAGUGGUUAGUAUACCACGUUGCCAACGUGGUGACCCGGGUUCGACUCCCGGCUCGCGCA